Molecule: long non-coding RNA, 1207 nt
Organism: Poecilia latipinna (sailfin molly)
Lineage: Eukaryota; Metazoa; Chordata; Actinopteri; Cyprinodontiformes; Poeciliidae
Exons: 2
Source: RefSeq, a predicted model, not a curated record
GUUACCAAAUCAUCAUUUAAAAACUGCUUCUUGUACUUUCUAGUUUUAUGACAUUGAGUUUUGUUUGAUGCUCUGGUCAUUUAGACACAAAAACCACAAACUAAAAACAUCGGAAAGUGAGCAAACGCUUUCUCACAGCACUCCUUAUUGAUUUCAUUUCAUUUUCAUGUUUCAUUUUUACAUUAUGUCUAACAAAAGCUGUUUGCACUGAGACAGGCGGUGGAGAUUUUCAGAUCAAUAAGUGGGACAAUAAUAAGUACAGGUGGCUUUAUACUUGAAUUUAUUGCAUAAUAUGCUACAUUUUUGUCACAUACAAUGAACAAGCAAUGUUUCACAACUAAACAGUCAAACUUUGCAGAAUCUGAGCUAAAGAUGAGGUAAUCUCCUAUUUAUAUAUUUAUUCAGUAAGUUUUUUGGAAUCGUUCAGCAUAUGUCAUGCCCCGCUCCUCUUUGUUGUCACAUUCUGCUUGAGCACUGAGAGUGACAAGCCUUGAGUUCGCCUACUUUCCGCAUAGUUUGUCGAAUACGCAGGUGAAAAAUGCCUACAAUGGAGCUGAGUUUGGCUGUGCCCCAUUUCCAUCUCCUUGUGCCUCGCUGUGCCUUAAACACACCCUUCUAAAGCACCUCCGCGCCAUAUUUCAAAUACGCUGGAAUGUGUCUGAAAAACGGCUGCCGCUGUGCAGUAUGUAACCCUCAAAAUGCCUGCGCUCGAGGCACAAAAAAAAAAAAAAAAGAAACCUGCGACAAUUCACAUAGGCUGUCGGAUGUAGUGCAGCAGAGGGGCGGUGUGAUCAGGGGAGCUGGGGAAGGCGGCUGCCCUCUCUGUGAUACUCCGGCUGCACACAUACGGCACUGCUUAGAUUCGAGACUCACUCCACAUAAAACUGGUCUCCACUCUCGUAUGCAGCAGUCAGCUCGCAGUUUCUUCGUGGAUGGCGGAACGCUGUCAGCUUCUGUCAUAUGUCUAAACGUCCAAAUGAAAGCUGCGGUUGUGUAUUUGCUGGAUGCUGAUGCAACAGUGGUUCUCAGCGUGCCACUGUGCAGGAAGACCUCUGCUUUGCAUGCAAAUCUGAUUUUGAAAUGUUGCUAACCACUGUUCGUUCUGACAAGGACACACGUUACUGGAACCAGUCAGAAGGCGAUCUGUCCGAGAGUUCUUGAAACCGUUCAUCCCAAAAAUGGAGUAAAAACCGAAAGUGUAGUCAAA